Molecule: ribosomal RNA, 349 nt
Filed under: uncultured bacterium
Lineage: Bacteria
Description: bacterial SSU rRNA
Rfam family: Bacterial small subunit ribosomal RNA
Source: RNAcentral
UCGCAAUACGUGUAUUGCUCUGACGGUACUCUACGAAUAAGGAUCGGCUAACUCCGUGCCAGCAGCCGCGGUAAUACGGGAGGAUCCAAGCGUUAUCCGGAAUCAUUGGGUUUAAAGGGUCCGUAGGCGGGCGUAUAAGUCAGUGGUGAAAGUUUGCGGCUCAACCGUAAAAUUAGCCAUUGAUACUGUAUGUCUUGAAUAAUUGUGAAGUGGUUAGGAAUAUGUAGUGUAGCGGUGAAAAUGCAUAGAUAUUACAUAGAAUACCGAUUGCGAAGGCAGAUCACUAACAAUUUAUUGACGCUAAGGGACGAAAGCGUGGGGUAGCGAACAGGAUUAGAUACCCUGGUAG